Long non-coding RNA from Motacilla alba alba, 384 nucleotides. RefSeq lists it as uncharacterized. The transcript is spliced from 3 exons. Lineage: Eukaryota; Metazoa; Chordata; Aves; Passeriformes; Motacillidae. The record is from RefSeq and is a predicted model, not a curated record.
AAAACAGGCAGCUAUAGGCGAGGACCCGAACUGACACGUACCUAGAGGAGCUCCAAGAGAGCUGGAGAUGGACUUUGGACAAGGGCAAGGAGUGACAGGACAAGGGGAGAUGGUCCUAAAUGGAAACAAGCCCACAUUAAGUAUUGAACGGUGACAAGGAGUUGUCCCCAGAUGCUUCUCGCCUCCAAGCUGAGAAGAGAUGGAGAAGUUGGCCUCUCGUGAAGCGCGAGUGUUCCACCCAUCCUGAUGGUCUGGCUUGAGUCACCAUCAAGAAGAGCUGAGCUCUGUGUUGAUCUCAAACCAGCUGUCCCCCCUUAGAGAGUGUCUCUUGUUCCUGCACAGUUCUUCUCCGGGUUCAUUUCUUUCUCAAUGUGUCUCAAUGUG